This 541-nucleotide transfer RNA is filed under the name uncultured Prochlorococcus sp. RNAcentral's name for it is "partial 16S-23S ribosomal RNA intergenic spacer". The stretch from base 212 to 284 matches the Rfam family "tRNA". The record is from RNAcentral. Lineage: Bacteria; Bacillati; Cyanobacteriota; Cyanophyceae; Synechococcales; Prochlorococcaceae.
CAGGGAGACAACAAAAUGUUUAAUAUUAUUAUUUUGUCACCUUAGGUCGAUCGGUAUCUCACGUUUUUAAUUUUUUAAGAAUUUCAUUUCCUAAGUUUUUCUAGGUCACACCCAUUAUUUUUCCUGGGCCAUUAGCUCAGGUGGUUAGAGCGCACCCCUGAUAAGGGUGAGGUCCCUGGUUCAAGUCCAGGAUGGCCCAUAUCUCUAUGUUGGGGGUAUAGCUCAGUUGGUAGAGCGCCUGCUUUGCAAGCAGGAUGUCAGCGGUUCGAGUCCGCUUACCUCCACUGAUCACCACCUCUUCCAUAAUUGGUAGAAAGGAAAUUUUUUGAGUUGUGAUCAAAUUCUGAAAGAAUCUAGCUUCCUAAUGAAAUCAUUAAGAUGCUGGACUCAUUGAAUUAAUUUCAUUGUUUUCAGAGAACCUUGACAACUGCAUAGAUUAUUUUUAAAGACAAUAAGCAUCUUUAGUGAUGCAGAUUUAUUAUUUGUGCAAAUGCAUUAAUAACAAUUCUAUUAAGCUGAUGCUUCAAUAUUUGAAGUUAUU